Molecule: ribosomal RNA, 305 nt
Filed under: uncultured bacterium
Lineage: Bacteria
Description: bacterial SSU rRNA
Rfam family: Bacterial small subunit ribosomal RNA
Source: RNAcentral
ACCUACGGGAGGCAGCAGUGGGGAAUAUUGCACAAUGGGGGAAACCCUGAUGCAGCGACGCCGCGUGAGUGAAGAAGUAUUUCGGUAUGUAAAGCUCUAUCAGCAGGGAAGAAGAAAGACGGUACCUGACUAAGAAGCCCCGGCUAACUACGUGCCAGCAGCCGCGGUAAUACGUAGGGGGCAAGCGUUAUCCGGAUUUACUGGGUGUAAAGGGCGUGUAGCCGGGCCGGCAAGUCAGAUGUGAAAUCCCAAGGCUCAACCUUGGAACUGCAUUUGAAACUGUUGGUCUUGAGUAUCGGAGAGGG